ACCAGUGGCCAUGCAAUUGCUGAAGUAGCCAAGCUCCUGUGCAUUGUAAAUGUCAGCCUUGUUCCAACACCUCUGCUAAGAUAUGGAGUUACCAGUAAGGAGCUCCACCGUGACUCUCCUCCCUGCUCCGUUGCCCCGACGAGGAAGUGUGAAAACGUUUCUGGCUCCAUCCAAGAGUUACUUCCCUGAAGAAGAGAGGGCUUUGUUGAAGUCUUCCCAUGCUUUCUGCACAGGGCUCUGGCCUUGGAGAAGGGAUUUCCAGUUACCGCAGUGUCACUUGGCCCUGGGUCUCCUCCCGGGAGAGAGAAGUGUACGGCUCCCAAGGUUCCUGGCAGUUUUGAAAGAGCUCUCAGCCACAGCCAGCUUUACUUUGGCAAGUGAGGCCAUCCCCUUUCUUUCCUCCUUUCCUUUCCCAUGGAACCUACUCCUUCCAUCUGUCUUUCAAGCUCUGCCUCAGAAAUGGCAAUUCAAGGCUGAUUUUCUCCUUGAAUGCACUCUCUCUGUGAAAGAGGCUUUUCACCAAGAAUGUGGUGCUGGUGUUUCUCUUGCCAAUGGGCUAAACAAAGGCCUCCGCACCGGGUAACAUUUGGGCAGGCCUCUUCACACAUGCCUGUCCUUCUCCGUCGCACUUGGCUAAAGCCAACAACCUAUGUGUGAAAAGUAUAAAGAGAUGGAAAAAUUCCCAUGAAAAAUCCUUCCGCAAAGCAAUUGCGAGACAACUA
This 722-nucleotide long non-coding RNA is filed under the name Homo sapiens (human). RNAcentral's name for it is "long intergenic non-protein coding RNA 2649". Lineage: Eukaryota; Metazoa; Chordata; Mammalia; Primates; Hominidae. The record is from RNAcentral.